GGAAAAGGUUGCUUAGGUGUCAGCCAAGACACUCCCUCUGCUUGAGGGAGAGGGAGCUGCCAGCCCGACUAUCCGUUUCCUGCCAGCUUAAGGAGCUUAUGACUCAGAUUCAAGCAAAACACUGUACUGAAGCAAAAGAAGAGGGAGGGAACCUCAGCUCAGAUGAAGGCUCCGGGGCCAAACUGCAUCACUGAAACAUUCAACUCGGGGGAACCCUUGGCACCAGAGGGAUCUCUGAUUUUCGUAAUUGUUCUCUGUUCUGAAAACACACACCUGUGCACAGACACAAACUGCCUUUUCCUCUUGCUCACACUCACACAUUUCUUCCUGAGCUGGAGUUCUAGGCUGUCUCACCCUCCUGCAGGAACAGCUUCUCUGAGAGGCUAGUGUGAUUAUUAUUAAGCCUCUCUCCCAUUCUGUGAUAGCAGAAAAGUCCCCGCCAGAUGUUAUGAUUCAGCUGAUGUCUCCACUUGUCCCUCCUUGCCUCCUGUCAGCCUUGUUUCCAGUUCUCACAGAGGGAGGUGACCGGGGAAGACUACCGACAUUUCUUGGGAAUAGCACGAAACCCAGACGCAUGUGUUUCAAAGUCCUCUGUGGUUUCAGUAGCUUCCUGGAUAUUGCUCUGGUGGCUGAGUCGCUGCCAAUGUUGACUUGCUGGUCAUCUGAAAGCCAAACUCUACCCCUGAGGAAAGGUCCUGGAUGAGUGGAGAGAUCGCGAGUCUUUCAUUUCCUUCCUCCUUCCAUUACUCAUGGACAGGCCCACCCCUCCUCAUCUCUUUUCAGUUAUCUUCUGUGAGUAAACAUUAGUCAUUUCCCUCUAAGCGCCUUAUCCCCAUGUACUGAAAAGGAAUGUGUGGUGUCUUGGAUAGAAGUUCAAAGUACUCAUUAUAGUUUAGAUCUUAAAUUUCGUCCAAGGACCUAUAUGUUAAAGGCUUGAGCGUCCUGCUUGGCACUAUUCGGAGGAGACAGAAAUUUUAGAGGUGGGUCCUAGUGGGAUUGGAGGUGUGUCCUUUUAGAGGACUGUGGGACCCCAGUUGUUCUCUCUUGUGUCCUUAUCAUAAGAUGAGCAGUUUGACUCCACCACAUCCUGCUACCUUGAUGUGCUGCCUUGUCACAGACCCCAAAUGAUAGGAUUAAUAGAUCAUGGGCUGGAACCACCAAAAUGAUGAACCAAAAUAAACUUUUUUCCCCCCUCAUUUUAAGUUAAUUU
This 1210-nucleotide long non-coding RNA is filed under the name Marmota monax (woodchuck). Lineage: Eukaryota; Metazoa; Chordata; Mammalia; Rodentia; Sciuridae. The record is from RNAcentral.